Molecule: long non-coding RNA, 14291 nt
Organism: Pan troglodytes (chimpanzee)
Lineage: Eukaryota; Metazoa; Chordata; Mammalia; Primates; Hominidae
Exons: 5
Source: RefSeq, a predicted model, not a curated record
GUUAUCCAAUCAGGGACUCUGGGCUGGGAUCCAUCCAAUCAGGCACGCAGCUAGAGUGGACAGGACGGCUUUCGAGAUUUGGCGCGGCCUUUGUCUCUGGCUGCAGUCGUAGCUCCAGGUCUUUUCUUCUCUGUUCUGUGUCUUCUGCUCCUAGAGGCCCAGCUUCGGUGUCCCUGUGACCUGUAGGCAUUGGGAGAUCCACAGCUAAGAUGCCAGGACCCCCUGGGAAGCCUAGAAAAAUAGUUCUGCCUGCAAAGAAGAUUGUGACAUAUUGCUGGUUGCAACACCACGGUGAUGUUACUUUUUGCCUUCUCACUGCCCUCAGAAGGCAUUGUGAUAUGUUGGUGGUCCCAGCUUCAAGGGAAUGUUCUGUGACUCUCCUGUCUGUGCCCUGCCUACAUGGAUUAUUGUGACAUAUUGCUGGGUCCAACACCCAGGUUCUGCCUGUAGAAAAGAUUGUAACAUAAUGCUGGGCCCAACUUCAAGGUGGCAUUACUUUUUUGACUUGGCCUUGCUCUCAGAAGACAUUAUAACAUACUGCUGGGCCCAGAACCAAGGUGAUGUUAAGUCUUCUGACUAAAACCUACCCACAGAAGACAUUGUGACAUAUCUCUGGGCCCAUCAACUAUUUGAUGUGACUCUACUCUUAUCUGAGUUUUUUUAAUAAAAGAGAUUUUGACAUAUCUUUGGGCCCAGCACCUAGGUGAUUUGACUCUCUUCUGCUGCGUGAGCCAUGCCCAGAGAUGGAGAGUGACUUAUCACCGGAACCAGCACACAAAUGUAAUUAUUCUGACUGAUUUCUUUCCAAAGAAGUCAUUGUGACAUAUUUUUGAGGCCAUCGCCUAAAUGAUACAAUUUUUUUUUCCUGGGCCUUGCCCACUGAGGUGAUUGUGAAAUACAGCUGGGCUCAGCCCUUAGGUUAUGUGACUCUCCUCUUUUUUUCUGAGCCCUAUCCACAAUGGGCAUUGUGACAUAUCUCUGGGCCCAUCACCUAGGUGAUGUGACUCUUUUCUGGGCCUUCACUCAGGGUAUAUUAUGAUAUAUACCUGUAUCUAGCACCUAGGUAAUGUGACUCUCCUAUUCUGCCUGGGCCGUGCAUAUAUUGUGUACUGUGACAUAUUUCUGGGUCCAGCACCUAGGUGAUUUUGCCCUCCAGCACAGCCCCUGCCAUCAGGGUUAUAAUAUAUCUUUCUAUUCAUCACCUACAUGAUGUGACUCUUUUUGUUUGCCUUUGUCCUGCCAAAAAGGGGAUUGUGACAUUUCACCCAGCACCCAGGUGAUGUGACUCUCCUCUUACGAUUGGGACUUAGAAUUUUUGGUAGUGUGACAUACUGCUGAGCUUAACACCUUGGCAGUUGGAGGCUCUUGCCUGGGCCUGGCUCACAGUUGCCCUGUGACAUAAUUUUGCAUCAAUCAUCUGGGAGAUGUGACUCUUCUUUUCUACCUUCACUCUGCCCAAAGGGAAGAUUGUCACAUAUCGCUGGGCUCAGCAACCAGGUAUGUGUCUCUCCUGCUUGUGACUUGCCAAUAGAGAGCAUUGUGACAUACUCCUGAGCCAAUCACACUGGUGAUGGGACUCUGCUUCAUGUGACUUGCUUUCAGGAAGAAAUUGUAACAUAUCUCUGGUCGAGCACCCAGGUAAUGUGACCCCUCCUGCCUCACCCCUGCCCUCUGGAAAGAUUGUGACAUAACUCUGGCCUAUCACUGAAGUGAUGUGACUCUUCUGUUGGCUCUCUGUGGACAGUAUCUGGGAUUACAGGCACGUGCCACCACCCCCAGCUAAUUUUUUGUAUUUUAGUAGAGACGGGGUUUCACCAUGUUGGCCAAGAUGGUCUUCAUCUCCUGACCUUGUGAUCCGCCCAUCUCAGCCUCCCAAAGUGCUGGGAUUACAGGUGUGAGCCACCACGCCCGGCCCGGGAUGGUGACUCAUUUCUAAACCCAGCUUAUAGGCAGGUGAGGACUCUCCAAUCUAGAUCCAUCCAGUUGGAGACAUAUUGAUUCGCAUAUCUAGGCUUAGAACCAUUGGUAUGAUUAUUUGUCUAUAUCAUCACAAAGGUUGCAAAGAAGACUGCGGCUCUUAUGCAUACUGUAUAAAACACUUGAAUAGUGCUGAGUGCUGAGCUCAGCAUACAGGUGACAUUGUGACAUUUAGAUGUACACCCAACAGACAGCAAAGAUUGUCAUCAUUCUACAUUAACAGUCCACUGUUGCGUUUCUGAAUCUCACACUCAAAGUCAGUCGAAAGUUGGAAAACUGACUGUAUACAUGGAUGACUGUCAUACGUGGACUCAGUCCACAGGUGGGUUGCUGACUUUCAGACCAAGAUUUAGCACACCCAUGAUGUUGUGAAUCCACGGAGGAGAUAAAGUCUGCAGGAGAAGUUUAGGCUCCCAAACACAUGUCUAGUCCACCAAUGAGAUUGUGACUUGUGUACUUACGUUGCGGGAAAUUAAGGAACCGGAGAGACCGAAUGGAGGGCAGGAAGUGUUUAUUUAAGGUGUACACUGGCUCAGUGGACAUGUGUCCUGAAAGUCUGAGCCCCGAACAAAGAAAACGAGUUCCUUUUAAGUAUUUUGAGGCGGGCACUAUGUGAAGCAGGAAGCAGGCUUACAGAAGCAAGAACAAAGGCUGCUGUGAUAUUUUUGCGACAUGUCUUACAUCUUUGGGAAAACUUGGUUUGUAGCUUAUGCUUAUUUGUUUUGUGACCUUGCAGCUGUGCAAGGAAGAAAGGAACAGGAGCUUAUAGAGCCUACAAAAUAUGUGGAGAGUGGAUAUGGUUAAUGUUUCUUGGGACAGGCAGUUAAUUUUUUUUUUAACUUUAACUUCGUGGGGGGCUACUUAAAUUUCUUUCAGCCUUGGUUAAUACAGCAGUUCAUUCUAUGAGCUAUUAUUAUUUGUCUUACUAUUACUAUAAUCUUUACUAUUAUUACUUACGCUAUUAUUUUGUUAUUUUCUUAAUUUCUUACUUCACUUAUACCCAACCUACAGUGAGCAGUGACUCUCAUACCAAGAGCCAGGAAAGGUGUGAGAUUGGUAGUCUCAUCCCUGGACCUCCUGCAGGUGUGAUUUUGACAUACACCUCUCCUCAGCACCUGAGUGAUUUGACUCUCCUGCCUGAGUCCAGCUUACAAAUGAGAUUGUGACAUAUCACUGGACCCAGCAUCUUGGUAAUAUGACUAUCCUCCUGCUUUGGCACUGCCCACAGAAGGUAUUGAGACAUAUUGCUGGGCCUAGCACUUCUAUGAUUUGACUCUGCUGCCUGUACCCUGCUUUCAGGAAGGGAUUGUAGCAUAUCUGGCUGAGCAUCUAGGUGAUGUGACUCUCUUGCCUGGUGCCUGCCCUCAGGAAAUAUUGUGAUAUAUAUAUAUAUAUUGCCCUCAGGAAAUAUUGUGAUAUAUAUAAAAUAUAUGAUCCAGAUCAAGGUGCAAUAGUAACUAUUGUAACUUGAGUCAGCAAAUAGGAGAGAUACUGUCUCUUGUAGCUAGGCUUAGGGUAAUAGGUAAGAUUCUGGGUCUCCUCUUUGUAUGAAGGUCAUAAAGAUACCUUACUUUAUAAGGUAUGUGAGGUCACUCACAUACCUUAUAAAGCCCUCAAAUGUUACAGACAGUGUAAUUACAGGGCCCAGCACACAGGUGAGAUUGUGUUUUUUCUAUGCAUACCCUGCCAACUGUUAGGAUUGUCACCCUCACACAUUGAAAGAGCUCACUGGUGAGGUUCUAAACUACACACAUGUAUGAGGUCUACAGUUGAAAUUGCGAUUGUCAAAUAUCAACAUCCUGCUACAGUUGAGACGGUGACUCAUUUAUAAACCCAGCUCAUAGGUAGGUGAGAACUCUCAUAUCUGGACCCAGCCAAUUGAAGGGAUGUUAACUCUUGUACUUGCUCUUAGGUCCACAGGUACAAUCAUGGGUCCAUACCAGCAUGAAGGUCUCAUACUAAAUUUAUUUUUUUGUUUUUUUAUUAUUUUUUUUUUGAGACAGAGUCUCUGUUACCCAGGCUGGAGUGUAGUGGCGUAAUCUUGGCUCACUGAAACCACCGCCUUCCGGGUUCAAGCAAUUCUUCUGCCUCAGCCUCCUGAGUAGCUGGGACUACAGGCGUGUGCCACCACACCUGGCUAAUUUUUGUAUUUUUAGUAGAGAUGGGGUUUAGUAGAGAUGGGGUUUCACCAUCUUGGCCAGGCUGGUCUUGAACUCUUGACCUUGUGAUCUACCCACCUCGGCCUCCCAAAGUGCUGGGAUUACAGGUGUGAGCCACCACGCCUGGCCAACAAAUUGCCACAUUCUAAAGCCCUUGGGUGGUACUGAGUGUGUUUUUAACAGGGCCCAGCACACAGGUCAGAUUGUGUUACUUGUAUACAUACCCAGCCAAUUGUAAAGAUUGUCAUCUUUUAUGAACUAUGUUUAUAGGUGCUUAGGUUCUGAAUGUGCUCAGGUUCUGAAUAUCACAUCUGAAGGUGGUGGAAAGUUGGAAAAUUGACUCCCCUACAUAAAUUCCAUUCACAGAAUGAUGGGUGACUCAGGACCAAGAUUUAGCACAUUUGUGAGGCUGUGACUCUGCUACAGGUACACAGUCCAUGGGGAAUUGAAGAUUGUUAAUCUCAUCCCUAGACGUUUUUGCAGGUGUGAUUAUGACAUAUGCCUCUUCUUAGCGCCUGAAUGGUUAGACUCUUGCUUGUGCCCAGCCCACAAGUGGAAAUUGUGACAUAUUGCUGGACCCCAACCUAGGUGAUGUGACUCUAUUCUUUUUCCUUGGUACUUCCCACAGGAGCAUCUUGACAGAUCGCUGGGCCUUGCACCCAAGUGAUGUGAGUCUCCUCUGCUGCCUUUGUGCUUUCCACAGGGAACAUUGUGACACAUCGUUGGGCAGCACACCCGGGUUAUGUGACUCUCCUGCCUGUGCCCUGCCCACAUGAGCCAUUGUAACAUUUUACUUGGUCCAACACCCAGUUGAUGUAACUCUCCUGCCUGGGCCCUGCCUACAGGGUCAUUGUGUCAUAUCUCUGUUGCCAUUACUGUCGUGAUGUGACUCUCUUCUCCUCUUGGGAUUUUAUGUGUUGGCAUACUUCCGGGGUCUUGCAUUACUUCUCCUAACCCACCCAACUCUUGAGAUCUCACUGGGAAGCUACUGAUGACCAGUUUUAGGUGUUUCGUAUUUAUUAGGAGACUGCCUGUCCCUGGCAACAGCUGUCACCAAUUAUUACUUUAGAGAGAUAGUUCACUGCCUGGCCAUUACCUGAUUGCUGCCUGACAUUUCUGAUGUGUGUGGAGUGGGGCGCCCUUUCUUGCCCUGCUUAUGCUGGACUAGCUACCUACUGUCACACUGCAUGCAUUUGUUUUGUGACAUAUGGCUGGGUCCAAUACCUAGGUGAGGUGACUCUCCUGCAUGGGUCCUGCCCACAGGGGUAUUAUGAUAUAUUUUUACAUUCAUGAUUUAGGUGAUGUGCCCUUCUUCUUCUGCCUGGUCUCUGCCAAAAUGUAGGAUGGUGAUGUAUCACUGGACCUAGCACCUAGGUGAUGUGACUCUCCUCUUUCAUGGGCCCCACAUAUGAGUACUGUGACAUAUCACUGGGCCAAACAUGUAGAAGUUGGGAGGUGCCUGCCUAUGCCCUGCAAACAGGGCUCUAGCCCUACAACGCUCAAGAGCCUUGUGACAUAUCUCUGUAUUCCUCACCAAGGAGAUGUGACUCCUCUGCUGCUGCCUGCACCUGGCCCACAGGGAAGAUUGUGACAAUAACAUUGACUCAGCAACAGGGUGAUGUGCUUCCUUUUCCUGGGCCUUGCUCCCAGGGAGCAUUGUGACAUGUCACUGGGCUCAGCACCCAGGUGCUGUGACUCUGCUGCCCAUGCCCUGCUUUCAGAACAGGAUUGUAACAUAUCCCUGGCUGAUCACCCAGGUGAUGUUACUCUUCUGCCUGGUUCCUGCCAUCAGGGAAGAUUGUGACAUAUUCCUGUCCUAGCGACCAGGUGAUGUCACUCUCCUGCUCACUCUCUAUCGACAGGUGGGAUUGUAAAAUAUAUCCUUGUUCAGCUCGUGGGUGAGAUGAUAACUCUCAUGCCUCAAACCAGCCAAUAGGAGAGAUACUGUUUUUUGAAGCUAGGCUUAGGAAAAUGAGUAAGGUCCUGGAUCUCCUCUGUAUGAAUAUCAUAGUUGAUUACCAGCCUCUCACAUAUAUAAAUUUUUCAAGUGGUACAGACAGUCUCAUCACAGGACCCAGGACCCAGGUGAGAUUGUGUUUUUCAUAUGCACACUAUCAGCCAUUAGGAUUUUUGCCCUCACACAUGGACAGAGCCUACUGGUAAGGUCUUGAAUCUCACACGUGGUUGGAGUUGAAAUUGUGACUGUUAUUUGUGAACAUCUGGCUGCAGUUGGGAUGGUGACUCAUUUCUAAUCUAGCUCCUAGGCAGGUGAGGACUCUUAUUUUUCAUUUUUAUUUUAUUUAUUUUUAUUUUUUUGGAGACAGUAUCUCACUCUGUCACCCAGGCUGGAGUGCAGUAGUUUAAUAAUGGCUCACUGCAACCUCCACCUCCUGGCUUUAAUCAAUUCUCCUGCCUCAGCCUCCUGGGUAGCUGGGAUUACAGAUGUGCACCACCACACCGGGCUAAUUUUUGUAUUUUUAGUAGAGAUGGGGUUUCACCAUCUUGGCCAGGCUGGUCUUGAACUCCCGACCUAAAGUGAUCCACCUGCCUCGGCCUCCCAAAGUGCUGGGAUUACAGGCGUGAGCCACCAUGCCUGUCCUCUUUUACGUGGAACCAGCCAGUGAUAGAGAUGCUGACUCUCAUACCUGGGCUUAGAGACACAGGUACAAUCAUGGGUCUAUACCUUCAACAUGAAGGUCAUAGAGUGGUUUGCAACUCUCGUUAAUACUGUAGAAAUCUCUCAUGUGGUACUGAGAGAGCCUAGAACACAGACAAAAUUGUGACACUCAUACACCCACCCAGCCAACAGUAAAAAUUGUUAUCUUUCCACAUGAACACAGCCCACUGUUGAGGUCCUGAGUCUCCCUCAUGAAAACAGUCAAAAGUUGGAAAAUUGACUUUAUUAUUAUUUUUUUUUAGAGUCUCACCCACUCUGACACACAGGCUAGACUGCAGUGGUGCAAUCUCAGCUCCUGCAACCUCCACUUUCUGGGUUCAAGCAAUUCUCGUGCCUCAACCUCCUGCAUAGCUGGAAUUACAGGCAUGUGCCACCACACCCAGCUAAUUUUUGUAUAUUUUCUACAGACAGGGUUUCACCAUGUUUCCCAGACUGCUCUCAAACUCCUGGCCUCAAGUGAUCCAGGCCUGCCUCGACCUCCCAAAGUGCUGGGAUUACAGACAUCAGGCACCACCCCCAGCCUGGAAACUUGACUCUUAUAUGUGGAUGCAUUUCACAAUAUUUAGCACAUCUGUGAGUCUGUGACUCCAGUAAGGGUACACAGUCUGCAGGAAGACUUCAGGCUCUCAUAAACAAAUCGAAUGCACCAUUGAGAUUGUGAGUCUCUUAGUUAGACCCAACAUACAGGAGGUGUUGACUCAAAUUUAGAACUGGGACAUGUGUGAGAUUGUUAAUCUAAUCUCUAAGCCAUCCUGCAGGUGUGAUUUUGGCAUAUGUCUCUGCUCAGUACUUGAGUGAUUUGACUCUCCUGUCUGGGCCCAGUCUAUAGGCACAAUUGCGACAUAUCACUGAACCAGCACAUGUGACUCCAUACUCCUGCCUUGGUGCUGCCCACAGGGGAGAUGGUGGAAUAUCACUGGGCCUUGCAUCCAAGUGAUGUAAGUCACCAUUUCUUUAUUGGCACUGCCUACGGGGGACACUGGCGUAUCUCUGGGCUCAAAACCCAGCUUAUAUGAUUCUCCUAUCUUUUCCCUGCCCACAUGGGCCAUUGUGACAUACUGCUUAGUGUAACACCCAUGUAAUAUAACUCUUCAGCCUCAGCCUUGCCUACAUGGGCGUUGUGAUGUAUCUCUGCACUCAUCACCCAGGUAAUGUGACUCCUGUCUGGUUUCUGUUCAGAUGGGAUAUUUUUGCCUAUUGCUGGGUACAGCACCUAGCUGAUGGGACUCUUCCCAUCUUUCUAAGGCCCACCCGCAUGGAAGAUGGUGACAUUUCACUUUGCCCUACACUAAGGUGACAUUAAUCUGUUGCCUUUGCCCUACUUUCAGAAGACAUUGUGACAUAUUGCUGGGCCCAGCACCCAGGUGAUGUGAGUCUCCUGCCUGAGCCCUGCUCACAGAGGGCAUUGUGACAUACUUCUGACUUCAUCAACUAUUUGAUGUGACUCUCCUAUCUUACCUGGGCUUUGCCCAUAAGAAAAAAUGUGACAUAUCUCUGGGACCAAAACCUAGGUGAUGUGACUCUCUUCUGACAGGGUCAUGCCCACAGAAGAAAGAUGGCUUAUUGCCAAACCCAGCACACAGGUGAGGUAAUCCUGUCUGGUCCCUGCCCGCAGGGGUUAUUUUGACAUAUCUCUAAGCCCAUCAGCUAGAUUAUGUGACUGUCUUCUUCCUGUAAACUGUACAGAGAGAAUAUUGUGACAUAUCACUUGGUCCAGAACCUAUGUGAUGUGACUGUCAUGACUGGGCCCUGUCAUUUGGGGUGAUUGUGAAACAGGUGGCAUGAGCACCUAGGUUAUGUAACACUUUUCUUCUCUCUUAGCCCUACACACAGAUGACAAUGUAGCAUAUCUCUGGGUCUUUCACAUAAAUAAUUUUACUUUUUUGCCUGGGCCAUGUCCGGUAACAUGUUGCUGGACCUAGAAACUGGGUGAUGUGACUCUCCUCUACUGCUUAGGCUCUGGCAAAAAAAAAAAAAAAAAAAUUGUGGUGUAUCGCUGGGCCAGUACCUAGGUAAUGUGACAUUUUUCUAUUGCCUGGGCCCUGUGUAUUCUGGGUAUUCUGACAUAUCACUGGGCCCAACAUGUAGGGAAUGGGAGUACCACCUGGGCCCUGCUCACAUGGGGCCUUGUGACAUAUCUCUUUAUCCAUCACCUAGGAAAUGUGUCUCUCCUCUUCUGCCUGCACCUUGCCCACAGAGAAAAUUGUGACAUAUUACUGAGCCUAGCAACCAGGUGAUGUGUCUCUCCUGCCUGGGCCUGGCUGACAGAAAGCAGUGUGAUAUAUUCCCGGGCCCAGCAAACAGUCCACAGGUGGGUUAUUGACACUCAGACCAAGAUUCAGUACACCUGAAAGACUGUGACUCCACUAAGAAAACAGUCUGUGAGAGGAAUUGAGGCUCUCGUCCAUGGAUCUAGUCCACUGUUGAGAUUGUGAAUCAUGUACUUAGGCCCAACAUAAAAGAGGUGUUGAUUCUCAUACCUGGAACCUGGACAUGUGCAGGAUUAUUAAUCUCAUUUAUGAACAUUCCUGCAGCUGUGAUUGUGACAUAUGCCUCUGCCCAGCACCUGAGUGGUUGAAUUCUUCUGCCUGGGCUCAGCCCACAGAUUGGAUUGUGAAACAUUGCUGAACCCAGGACCUAACUAAUGUAAAUCUAUUCUCCUGCCUUGGCACUGCCCACUGGGAACCCUGUGACAUAUUGCUGCACCCAACACCCAGGUUAUGUGGCUCUCCUGCCAGUGCCUUGCCCACACGGGCUGUUGUGACAUAUUGCUGGGUCCACACCCAGGUGAUAUAAUUCUCUUGCCUAGGCCCUGCUUACAGAGAGCAUUGUGACAUAUCUUUCUGCUCAUCACACAGGUCAUAAGACAGUUUCUGCCUGGUUUCUCCUUACAGGGUGUAUCAAAACAGAUUGCUAGGCCCAGCACCUAGCUGAUGUGACUCUUUCUAGGUUUUGCCCACAAGGAACAUUGUGACAUAUCACUGGGCCCAACAGCAAGGUGAUGUUGCCCUUUUGCUUUGGCCUUGCUCUCAGAAAGCAUUGUGACAUAUUGCUGAACCCAGCACCAAGGUGAUGUGAGUUGGUAUGCCUGGACCCUGCUAACAAGAGGCAUUGUGACAUACUUCUGGGACCAUCAUCUAUUUGAUGUGACUCUCCUUUUACCUGGGCUUCUGUUAUAAAAGAGAUUGUGACAUAACUCUGGGCCUAACAGCUAGGUAAUGUGACUUUUCUUUUGCUUGGACCAUGCCCAAGGAAAGAGAGUGAUGUAUUACUAAGCUCAUCACAUACGUGGUGUAAUUUCUUCUGCUCGGUCUUUGCCCACAGGAAUCAUUUUGCUGUAUUUCUGAUUCAUCACCUAGUUGAUGUGACCCUUCUUUUUUUCAGACUUGUCUGCAGCGGAGAUUGCUACAUAUUGCUUGGCCCAGCUCCUAUGUGAUGUGACUCUCCUGUCAUACCUGAAUGCUCCCCACUGGGGUAAUUGUGACAUAUAGCUGGGCUCUGGCCCUAGUUUAUGUAACUUUUCUUCCUGACCGCUACUCACCUGGGGGCAUUGUGACAUAUCUCUGAACCUCUCACCUAAGUGAUGUGAAUCUCCUGCUUGAGCCCACUUCUCAGGGAGUAUUGUUAUAUAUUGUCACACACAGCAACUAGGUGAUAUGACUCUCUCUACAGCUUGGACUCUGCCCAAUAAAAAACUGUGAUGUAUCACUGGACCCAGCACCAAGGUUAUGUGACUCUCCUGCCUGGGCUCUACAUUCAUUGUUUUUGUGACAUACGGCUGGGAAUAAUGUCUAGGUCAUGUGACUGUCCUGCAUGGACCCUGCCCACAGGGGUAUUAUGACACAUUUUUUUAGUCAUCUAGGUGAUGUGACUCACUUCUCCUGCCUGGGCCCUGCCAGAAAGAAUGAUAGUGACUUAUCACUGAACCCAGCACUUAAGUGAUGUGACUCUCCUCUUUUGCCUGGACCUUGCAUGUUUUUGGUAUUGUGACAUAUUGCUGGGCCCAACACCUAGGAAAUGAGACAUUUUUGCUUCAGCCCUGACUACAGGCAGCUUUCUGACAUUACUCUGUAUCCAUCACAUAGGGCAUACGUCUCUCAUCUCUUCUGCCUGCACCUGCCCACAGGGAAGAUGGUGACAUAACACAACAACUAGGUGAUGUGUCUCCAGCCUGGGCCUAGCCCACCAGAAGUAUUGUGACAGCUGGUUUCUGAGCCCAGUGAUAUGUUACAAUGCUCCCUGUGGAGCCCCCUGUGACACCUGGUCUCAGAAACUAGGUGAUGUGACUACUGCCCAAGCCCUGCUUUUAGAAAGGAAUUGUGACUUAUCACUGGCCAAAUGUGACAUGAGCCUCCUGCCUGGUCCUUGCUUUCAGAGAAGACCAUGACAUAUCUCUGUUCCAGCACCCAGGUGAUGUGAUAAUACUGCCUGGGCUCUCCCCUCAGGAAGUAUUGAGACAUAUUUCUGGACCCAGCCCAUAGGUGGUAUGACUGUCCUCUACUACUUAGACUCUACCCAAGAAGCGACUGUGAUGUAUCAAUAUUCCCAGCACUUAGAUGAUGUAACUCUCUUAUGCUUGGGCCCUGUUCACAUUGUAUAUGAAACAUAUGUCUGGGUCCAUCACCUAGUUGAUGUGACUCUUCUGCAUGGGCUCUGUCCAUGGAGAUAUGAAAUAUUUUUUCAUUCAUCCCCUGCCAUUUCUCUUUUGUGCCUCUUUUGCCUGGGCCUUGCCAAAAAGAGGAUUAUAAUGUAUCACUGGACCCAGAACCUAGGUGAGGUGACUCCUAUUUUGCCUGGGGCUCACAUAUUUGGGUAUUGUGAUAUAGGGGAUGGAUGGGAGGCACAUGAGUGGGCUUUGCUCACAGAAGGCCUUGUGACAUCUCAGCAUUCAUUACCUAGGAAAUGUGACUAUUGUCUUCCAUUUGCACCCUGCUUACAGGGAAGAUUGUGACAUAUUGCUGGACCUAGCAACCAGGUGAUGUGUCUCUCUUGCCUGAACCCUGCCCACAGGGAGCAUUGUAACAUAUCUCUGGGCUCAGCAGCCAAGGGAUGUUACUAUCCUUCCCGGUCCCUGCCCUCAAGUAAUAUUGUACAAAUCUUUGGCCCAGCACCCGGGUGAUGUGACUCUCCUGCUUAUUACCUACCUGCACGUGGAUUUGUUACACAUAUGUUGUUCCAGCUCAUAGGUGUGAUGAUGACUCUCAUAUAUUGAACCAGCCAAUAGUUGAUACAGUCUCUCAUAGCUAGGCUUAGAAAAAUGGAUAAGAUUCUGGGUCUUCUGUUUUUAUAAAGGUCAGAAAGGAGUAUCACACUCUCACAUAUGGUAUAAAGUCUUCAGGUUGUACACAGUGUGUCAUUGCAGAGCCCAGUGCACAGGUGAGAUUUACUUGUGUGUAUGCACACCCUACUAUCCAUUAAAAUUGUAAUUCUCACAGACGGACAGACCCUACUUGUAAUCUCACAUAUGGAUGCAGUCCACAUUUGGAAUUGUCAUAUGUGAACAUCCAGCCAGAUAUGGGAUAGUAAAACAUUUUUAAAUGCAGCUCAUAGAAAGGUGAGGGCUCUCCUAUCUAGACACAGAAAAUUAGGGAGAUGUUGACUCUUAUACCCGGGGUUAAGAACACAGAUAAUAUGAUUAUAGGUUCAUACCAGCACAAAUGUCUUAGAAUAGAUUGUGACUGUCAUGCGAAACAUAAAGCCCUAGCGUAGUACAGAGAGUGUCCUAACAGGGCCAAGCACACAGGUGAGAUUAUGACACUUGUAUUCACACGCUUUCAACAGUAAAGAUUGUCCUGCACCCACAUAAACAACCCACUGUUGAGGUUCUGAACCUCACACACAAAGCCAGCUGAAAUUUGGAAAAUUGAAUCAUGUGGAUCUGGCCCACAGCUGGGUUGGUGACUCUCAGAUAAAGAUUCAGCACUCUUGUGAGCCUCUGACUCCACUAGGGGAAAAUAGUUCACAGGAGGGAUUGAGGCUUUCAGACACAGAUCUAGCCACCUUUAAGACUAUGACUCACGAAAUUAGACCCAAGAUAGAGAAGGUAUUGACUCUCAUACCUAGAACCAGGACGUGUGUGGGAUGUUUAAUAUAAUCCCUAGACCUUGCAGAUGUGAUUGUGACAUAUACCUUUUCCCAGCACCUAAGUGAUUUGACCCUUCUGCCUGGGCCCUACAGAUGGGAUUGUGGCAAAUGACUAAACCUAGCACCUGGAUGAUGUGAGCCUAUAAUUUUGUCUAAGCACUUUUCACAGAGAGAAUUGUGAAAUAUUGCUGGCCCUAACACCCAGGUGAAGUGACUUUCCUCUAUUGCUUGAUCUCUCUGCCCAAGGACAGAUUGUGAUAUAUGACUGGGCCCAGCACCUAGGUAAUGUGACUUCCUUCUCCUGCCUGGGCCCUGCAUACAUUGAGUAUUGUGACAUAUGGCUGGGUCUAACACUUUCAUGAUGCAAAUCUGCAUGGGCCCGCCCUACAGAGGUAUUAGAACAUAUCUGUUUAUUCAUCACCCAGGUGACGGAGAAGAGGUGGUGAUUGAUUUCACUCUCCUCUUCUGCCGGGGCCCUGCCAAAAUCAGGGAUUGUGACAUAUCUCUGAUUUUGCAUCUAGCAUCUAGGUGAUGAAACCUGGUAGCAUCUAGCAUGUAGGUGGACCUAGCAUCUAGGUGAUGAAACUCUUCUGUUUUCCCUGGGCCCCACAUAUUUUGGAUAUUAUUACACAUAUCUGGGACCCAUACCUAUGGGAUGGGGUGCUUCUGCCUGGGCCCUGCCCACAAGGGACCUUGUAAAAUAUCUUUUUAUUUAUCACCUAGGAAAUGUGACUCUCUCUUACCUGUAUUCUGCCCAUAGAAAAUGUUGUGACAUAUUGCUGGGCCAUGACAGGUGAUUUGUCUUUCCUGCUAAGGCCAUGCCCAGAGGGAGCAUUUUGACAUCACUGGACUUAGCAUACAGGCAAUAUUAAUACAGGAGUUAAAUCAAAAUUAUUUUAGGGAGUUAGUAAGAGUAAGGGUUCUCAAUGGAAUUUUUCUUUAAUAAAAAGGAGCCCCAAAGCUAUUUGUUUUCCUAAAAGAAAGCAGCCUAAAACGUGAAGCUGUAAGCAUAGAUCAGCAAGCUGGAAGCUUGCAUAUGCAAAUGCCAGGAGCUAUACUAAAAGCCAGGUACACCACACAUGACAAUUUUCCCUCCUUUUUCUGUCAUCACGUGUGCAGGUGUCAUGGCAUCGGCCAGGUAGAGAUUACAUUUACAUAAUAAAAGAUUAGGGUAGAAGGGACAUUUUCUUUGUGGGCAAUGUAAAUGGCACACCUGGUCAAACCAAUCUCCUGGGCCCUGUGUAAAUCAAUCACUGCCUCCUCAAUCCAAUCCUCUAUAAAAUUGAAUCUAUUCUGCCCCAAACUCAGAAACCCCCUUGGGUGACCCACUUUUUCUGAAAGAGGAAGCUCUGUCUCUCCCUUUCUUCUAUUAAACUUUCUGCUUCUUAAACUCA